CCUACGGGUGGCAGCAGUGAGGAAUAUUGGUCAAUGGACGAGAGUCUGAACCAGCCAAGUAGCGUGAAGGAUGACUGCCCUAUGGGUUGUAAACUUCUUUUAUAUGGGAAUAAAACGUUCCACGUGUGGGAUUUUGUAUGUACCAUAUGAAUAAGGAUCGGCUAAGUCCGUGCCAGCAGCCGCGGUAAUACGGAGGAUCCGAGCGUUAUCCGGAUUUAUUGGGUUUAAAGGGAGCGUAGGUGGAUUGUUAAGUCAGUUGUGAAAGUUUGCGGCUCAACCGUAAAAUUGCAGUUGAAACUGGCAGUCUUGAGUACAGUAGAGGUGGGCGGAAUUCGUGGUGUAGCGGUGAAAUGCUUAGAUAUCACGAAGAACUCCGAUUGCGAAGGCAGUUCACUGGACUGCAACUGACACUGAGGCUCGAAAGUGUGGGUAUCAAACAGGAUUAGAUACCCCAGUAGUC
Molecule: ribosomal RNA, 460 nt
Filed under: uncultured bacterium
Lineage: Bacteria
Description: partial 16S ribosomal RNA
Rfam family: Bacterial small subunit ribosomal RNA
Source: RNAcentral